This 450-nucleotide ribosomal RNA is filed under the name uncultured bacterium. RNAcentral's name for it is "partial 16S ribosomal RNA". It matches the Rfam family "Bacterial small subunit ribosomal RNA", at positions 354 to 796 of the family's 1533-position model. The record is from RNAcentral.
GUGGGGAAUAUUGGACAAUGGGCGAAAGCCUGAUCCAGCCAUGCCGCGUGUGUGAAGAAGGUCUUCGGAUUGUAAAGCACUUUAAGUUGGGAGGAAGGGCAGUAAGUUAAUACCUUGCUGUUUUGACGUUACCGACAGAAUAAGCACCGGCUAACUUCGUGCCAGCAGCCGCGGUAAUACGAAGGGUGCAAGCGUUAAUCGGAAUUACUGGGCGUAAAGCGCGCGUAGGUGGUUUUGUAAGUUGGAGGUGAAAUCCCCGGGCUCAACCUGGGAACUGCCUCCAAAACUGCAUGACUAGAGUACGGUAGAGGGUAGUGGAAUUUCCUGUGUAGCGGUGAAAUGCGUAGAUAUAGGAAGGAACACCAGUGGCGAAGGCGACUACCUGGACUGAUACUGACACUGAGGUGCGAAAGCGUGGGGAGCAAACAGGAUUAGAUACCCGAGUAGUAC